RNAcentral lists this ribosomal RNA (435 nucleotides) under uncultured Anaerovorax sp. RNAcentral's name for it is "partial 16S ribosomal RNA". It matches the Rfam family "Bacterial small subunit ribosomal RNA", at positions 341 to 792 of the family's 1533-position model. Lineage: Bacteria; Bacillati; Bacillota; Clostridia; Peptostreptococcales; Anaerovoracaceae. The record is from RNAcentral.
ACGGAAGGCAGCAGUGGGGAAUAUUGCACAAUGGGCGAAAGCCUGAUGCAGCAACGCCGCGUGAAGGAUGAAGGUCUUCGGAUCGUAAACUUCUGUCCUAAGGGAAGAACAAAUGACGGUACCUUUGGAGGGAGCCCCGGCUAACUACGUGCCAGCAGCCGCGGUAAUACGUAGGGGGCAAGCGUUAUCCGGAAUUAUUGGGCGUAAAGAGUGCGUAGGCGGUUUCUUAAGCGCGGGGUGAAAGGCAGUGGCUUAACCAUUGUUAGCCUUGCGAACUGGGAGACUUGAGUGCUGGAGAGGAAAGCGGAAUUCCUAGUGUAGCGGUGAAAUGCGUAGAUAUUAGGAGGAACACCAGAGGCGAAGGCGGCUUACUGGACUGUAACUGACACUGAGGCUCGAAAGCGUGGGGAGCAAACAGGAUUAGAUACCCUGGUA